Molecule: long non-coding RNA, 1158 nt
Organism: Oncorhynchus keta (chum salmon)
Lineage: Eukaryota; Metazoa; Chordata; Actinopteri; Salmoniformes; Salmonidae
Exons: 5
Source: RefSeq, a predicted model, not a curated record
UGAAAACAUCAAACCGAUUUACAUUAUUUGCAUUUGUAACCUCACCGUAGGUAGGCAAUAACUUUUUUGGCAAUACAAUUUCUAAACUCCUGGAAGAUACAUUUUGGAACCAUUAUGGCAGCCAGUGAAUCAAGAGCGACCGCGCCAAGUGCAUGACUACGGCAUCGGUUUGGAAGAUGAGCGAAGCGUGACGAGAGGAGAAGCGGUAAGCCGGCGGUGACAGCCAGGCAUGUUCGCUUCGGCUUUUUUCCCUAGCAAAUCGACAGGAGAUACAACCCGGGAGAUGUGCUAUAAAACAAACUGCGCUCUCAAAGGAAGCCGGCGGACAGCGGUGGCUAGGUUGGCACGUCAGAAUAACCAGACAGAAAAGAAAGAGAGAGAAGGACGUGAUCAAUGGACUUGAACUCUGGAGCUCCACUGCCACAGAUGGAAAGGUGGUGUGGAGUCCUGCAGCCGAUGAGGCCUUCUGCCUACUGAAGGAGCGUUUCACCUCCGCCCCAUUGCUGAAACACCCAGAUCCUACGCUGCCCUUCGUGGUGGAAGUGAACGCCUCAGAAGUGGGCGUGGGGGCCACAACAUCAAGUUUCCCUCAGGUUGGUGGUUCCUGGUCCCCUGGAUGAUGCCGUCCCCCGCGACACCUCUUCGCCUCCCCUGGACAUUGAGGAGACCCCCACCUAUGCUGUUAGGUCCCUCCUGGAAUACCAAUGUUGUGUGGGUUGGCUCCAGUACCUGGUGGACUGGGAAGGGUACGGUCCUGAGGAGCGCACUUGGGUCCUGGUGGCGGAUAUCCUGGACCCUAACAUCAUCCGAGAUUUCCAUUUCCGCCAUCCGGACCAGUCCGCUCCUCACCCUCGAGGCUGUUCUCUUGGUUAUCGUCGUCCUGCGGCUGGAGCCCUGCAUCGGGGGGUACUGUCACGCCUAAUCCUGUUCCCUCCCUCCAGCGCUCAUAGUCUCCGGUCCACUAACCACCGGUCCUGGAAACCGACAUUGCGCACACCUGCUCCCCUGAACUUCAUCACCACCCUGAUGACUCUCCUUUCAUAUAGCCCUCAGUAGCCUCAGUCAUCAGGCAGUAUUAGUUUUGGUCACGUUUAGUAAGCUUCUCCUGUUUUGUGUUAUCUUCAUGUUUAUUAUUAUUAAACUCACCUUCUGCACCUA